UACGUAGGGUGCAAGCGUUGUCCGGAAUUAUUGGGCGUAAAGAGCUCGUAGGCGGUUUGUCGCGUCGAAUGUGAAAACCCGGGGCUCAACCCCGGGCCUGCAUUCGAUACGGGCAGACUAGAGUUCGGUAGGGGAGGUCUGGAAUUCCUGGUGUAGCGGUGAAAUGCGCAGAUAUCAGGAGGAACACCGGUGGCGAAGGCGGGACUCUGGGCCGAUACUGACGCUGAGGAGCGAAAGCGUGGGGAGCAAACAGG
RNAcentral lists this ribosomal RNA (254 nucleotides) under uncultured bacterium. RNAcentral's name for it is "partial 16S ribosomal RNA". It matches the Rfam family "Bacterial small subunit ribosomal RNA", at positions 524 to 776 of the family's 1533-position model. The record is from RNAcentral.